This 452-nucleotide ribosomal RNA is filed under the name uncultured bacterium. RNAcentral describes it as "bacterial SSU rRNA". It matches the Rfam family "Bacterial small subunit ribosomal RNA", at positions 1052 to 1504 of the family's 1533-position model. The record is from RNAcentral.
UCGUCAGCUCGUGUCGUGAGAUGUUGGGUUAAGUCCCGCAACGAGCGCAACCCUUAUUGUUAGUUGCUACCAUUUAGUUGAGCACUCUAGCGAGACUGCCCGGGUUAACCGGGAGGAAGGUGGGGAUGACGUCAAAUCAUCAUGCCCCUUAUGUCUAGGGCUACACACGUGCUACAAUGGCAAGUACAAAGAGAAGCAAUACCGCGAGGUGGAGCAAAACUCAAAAACUUGUCUCAGUUCGGAUUGUAGGCUGAAACUCGCCUACAUGAAGCUGGAGUUGCUAGUAAUCGCGAAUCAGAAUGUCGCGGUGAAUACGUUCCCGGGCCUUGUACACACCGCCCGUCACACCAUGAGAGUUGGCAAUACCCAACGUACGUGAUCUAACCCGCAAGGGAGGAAGCGUCCUAAGGUAGGGUCAGCGAUUGGGGUGAAGUCGUAACAAGGUAGCCGUA